AUACGUAGGUGGCAAGCGUUAUCCGGAUUUACUGGGUGUAAAGGGCGCGUAGGCGGGGAUGCAAGUCAGAUGUGAAAUCUGUGGGCUCAACCCAUAAACUGCAUUUGAAACUGUAUCUCUUGAGUGCUGGAGAGGUAGCCGGAAUUCCUUGUGUAGCGGUGAAAUGCGUAGAUAUAAGGAAGAACACCAGUGGCGAAGGCGGUCUACUGGACAGUAACUGACGCUGAGGCGCGAAAGCGUGGGGAGCAAACAGGAUUAGAUACCCUGGUAGUCCACGCUGUAAACGAUGAAUACUAGGUGUGGGGGGACUGACCCUCUCCGUGCCGCAGUUAACACAAUAAGUAUUCCACCUGGGGAGUACGGCCGCAAGGUUGAAACUCAAAUGAAUUGACGGGG
RNAcentral lists this ribosomal RNA (396 nucleotides) under uncultured bacterium. Its description in RNAcentral is "partial 16S ribosomal RNA". It matches the Rfam family "Bacterial small subunit ribosomal RNA", at positions 523 to 918 of the family's 1533-position model. The record is from RNAcentral.